RNAcentral lists this ribosomal RNA (473 nucleotides) under uncultured bacterium. RNAcentral describes it as "bacterial SSU rRNA". It matches the Rfam family "Bacterial small subunit ribosomal RNA", at positions 28 to 518 of the family's 1533-position model. The record is from RNAcentral.
GACGAACGCUGGCGGCGUGCUUAACACAUGCAAGUCGAACGGAAAGGCCCUUCGGGGUGCUCGAGUGGCGAACGGGUGAGUAACACGUGGGUGAUCUGCCCUGCACUUUGGGAUAAGCCUGGGAAACUGGGUCUAAUACCGGAUAGGACUACGGGCUGCAUGGUCUGUGGUGGAAAGCUUUUGCGGUGUGGGAUGGGCCCGCGGCCUAUCAGCUUGUUGGUGGGGUGAUGGCCUACCAAGGCGACGACGGGUAGCCGGCCUGAGAGGGUGACCGGCCACACUGGGACUGAGAUACGGCCCAGACUCCUACGGGAGGCAGCAGUGGGGAAUAUUGCACAAUGGGCGCAAGCCUGAUGCAGCGACGCCGCGUGAGGGAUGACGGCCUUCGGGUUGUAAACCUCUUUCAGUGCCGACGAAGCGCAAGUGACGGUAGGCAUAGAAGAAGGACCGGCCAACUACGUGCCAGCCGCCGC